This 16046-nucleotide long non-coding RNA is filed under the name Triticum aestivum (bread wheat). RNAcentral's name for it is "long non-coding RNA (TAES_LNC003189)". Lineage: Eukaryota; Viridiplantae; Streptophyta; Magnoliopsida; Poales; Poaceae. The record is from RNAcentral.
AGCGUAUGAAAAUGCCAAGUUAUUAAAGAAAAAGUAAAAACAUGGCAUGAUAAGAGAAUCCAGAAGCAUGAGUUUACAGUUGGAGAAUAUAUUCGUUUGUACAACUCUCGUUUCAGAUUCUUCACAUGCAAACUCUCUCCAUAUGGGAAGGACCAUACGUUACUGAGGAGGUUUAUCGAUCUGGAGCCAUCAAAAUAAAUAAUGCCGAAGGUACUAACCCAAAGGUUGUCAACAGGAAAAGAAUAAAACAUUAUAUCUCAGGUAGGACCAUUAAUGUUGAAAGUAAUAUUAUCCAAACCAUGACACCGGAAGAACACAUAAAGGAAACCUUCUGGAAUACUCCAGAAUCGUUAAAAAAGAGGAGGUAUGUGAUACGGUAAGUAAACGGACUCCGAAAAAUCCAAAAAAAUAUAUUUUUGUCAGUUUUGCAAUAUAUUAAAAAUUGGGAAAAUUAGAAACAACGAAGAAGACAUCCCUGGUGGGCACAAGACACCAGGAUGCGCCUGGCAAGCCAGACGCGCCCAGGUGGGAUGUGCCCACCUCGGGUACCUUCAGGUGUCACACCCUAGCUAGUUCAUGCAUUAGAGUGUUGCAUCAUGUUUAUUCUUUCAUCAGAAACCUGAAAUGGGGAUGACAGAACCCCCAGCCCCCUCUGAAACCAAUUACGGUUUACUAAAAAACUUUUUCAAUGAACCUGAAAUGCCCUUCUAAAAUGCCCAUCAUUUUUGUCUUGGUUCAGAUCCUCUGCCAAAAGUGAUGCACAUUUUCCUAGGCCAUCUUAGGGUUUUUGAAUUAAAUCAUAAAUAUUUGAAUUUGGGCAUUUAAAAUUAUAUAGAAUAUUUAAAUGCUCAAAUAUCUCCAAACUAAAAUGUUUCAUGUUGGAAAUAAUCCAACUAUGGACCAGGAGUAGUUUGGUGAUUUUAGGAGUUGCCUAAGUAUUUUUAAUAAAUCAACAAAGUUGCAGAAGUAUUAAAAAACAGAAAACAGUAAAAAUAGAAAAACUUACCUGGUGCCAGCUCCCGGCCCACCUGCCGGCCUAGCCCAGCGCCGCUCCAGCGAGCUGCUUGCCGGCCAGGCAGGCAGGCAGGUGCCCGACGGCGACCGCAGCGCGCGCCACGCAGCUGGCUGCCGCCCUGCUCCACCUCCUCGCCUCGGGGCUGGAUGGAUGAGCUCUACGCAGCACCGUGAACCCGCAGGACACCUCCAUUCUCCCCCAACCCCUCUCUCUCGCGCUCCCCCACCAUGGCCGACGCCAUCGCCGCCACCCCCUCGCCGUAGCCACGCCCUCCGUCAACCCCACGCCGUGCCGCCGUGUCCAGGAGCUCCGCUACCCUCCUCUCCUUCGAGCAAGCCGAGCCCCGAGCGCUCGCAAGGCGCGAGCCCACCGCAUCGACUUCGACCGAACCGCCGUCGCCGGAGAUCCCCUUCAACGCCGACGUCGCUCCGGCCCGUCCCCGGCCGCACCAAGGGCUUCGUCGAACUCCCCGUGAGCUUAGCUAUCUUCCCCUCCCUUCUUUCUUGCUCCCGAGCCGUGUAGAGACCUCCCGAAGCUCAACCGCACCCACCGCCGUGGAGCUCGUCGCCGAUGUGCUCCCGGUCAUCUUCCGGCCACCCCACGGUGUCCAUCAUGCUCACCGCGUCACGUAGCACCUAACUAGCUACUCCCCGCUCCUCACCGACCCCUCUUGCGUCAAGUUCGACUUCGGCCGAACUCCGGUGGCCGCCAAAGUCGGCGCCGGCGCCAACUCCGGCCACCCCGACCCCAACGGACUCCACCAAGAGCUGCAGUUCGUCCUCAGCUCCUCUCCGGUGGCCUCCGCGGCUCGUUUGGUUGCCGGAACGGCAAAAACCACUUCCGCCGCCGCGUCCGGCUCGCCGGCGGCUAAACGCCGGUGCAGCCGACCCAGGUUUGACCACGGGUGGGCCCUGGUUGACUCUCCUGAGUCAAUGAUAGGUGGGGCCGAGCCCUGUUAACUAAUUAGGAUUAGUUUUAAUUAAUUUUAGUUUAGCUAAUCACCCUGACACGCGGGACCCACUGUCAGGUUUGACCCGGACCGUGUCCCGUUGACCUGCUGAUGUCACACUGACGUCAGGCUGAUGCAGUAAUUGAUUUUCUGGAUUUAUUUUAAUAUAGGAAAUUCCAGAAUAUAGAUUAAACUUCAAAAAUUCAUAACUUUUAAUCUGUAACUCCAAAUCAGACAAAUUAUAUAUGAAAAAUGAUCAGAAAAAUCCAAUCUAUCCAUCUGUACUAUUUUCAUGCAUGAUAAAACAAGUUAACUUGUUGUUUAAUGCAGAACAAGGAAAAAACACUUUAAAGGGCCAUGUUUGAGUUUGAAAUUUGAAUCUUUGAUUCAAAUUGGUUCAAACCCUUCUGAUCUUAGUUGCAUUAGCCCAACACACUCAUGUUGCCAUGUUUCAUGCAUGCAUCAUAUUGUUGCACAUUGUUUGGUGAUGGUUGUGUAUCGGUGUUCUUUGCGGCAGGUUCUGUCUCCGAGGAGUACCGUGAUUACCCUAACGAAGAACCGUAUCAGUGCAUCGAACCAUCAGGCAAGCAACCAACCAUUUGAUCAUAUCGAUACAAUCCCAUGUUCUCACUCCUGCUCUCUUUUACUGCAUUAAGACAACGUGUUUCAAACUGCUGUGUGCUAUGGUAGUUGAACCCACUUCCUCUGCAUGACCUGUCAUUGCCACAGUAACUAGAUGAAACCCACUAGCAUGUGUAGGAGUUGAUUGAGCCAUAUGUAUGUGUUGUUCCUACCUUGCUAUGCCUGCUAUGCUUAGAGUCGUGUCAGGUCUGGUUCAUCUGGGUGAUGGGCUAGAGUGAAAUGAUUAUGUCGGUAAUGAGAGUGGUGUGGUGAACACGAUUUGGUAAAGGUAUCGAUGAAAGGCCAUGUAGGAGUACAUGGUGGGUUGUUUCAUUCAAGCCGACCUUAAGCACUGAGAUCUGUAUGUGUGAUUUAAGAUACAGCUACUACCAUGCAUUGGGCGCUGAAAUAUGACCCCGCUCGACUUCUUAUUCACCCUAGUCCUCUGUCCUGGAGUUGCAAGUAGUUUCUGGUGUUUGUAGCCUACUGGAGGCCGUGGACAGCGCUGACUGUAGGGGUGGGCUGUGAUGCGGUAGGUACGUGGCCGGGUAAACCGGGCACCCGUUUGGUGUCACGGAACCCUGUUCACAUCGUUUGGGGCUGUGAGCGAAACUCCGGCCAGAUCUCCUCAUGGAUGGAAUCCGAAUAGGCGAUAAACCUGGACUAGAGACUUAGGUGUUUAGGUAGGUCGUGGUCUACACCCACGUCGGCUUUCGCUUGAAGUCUGCCGAGCACAUGUCGUGUGCAGACGCUAAGUGGUGGAAACAUGUAUGAAGAAGUACACCCCUGCAGGGUUAACAUGAUCUAUUCGAAUAGCCGCGUCUGCGGUGAAGGACUACUUGGUUGCCUAUACAGUUCAUAGACAAGUAAAUGGAAACUACUAAAAGCCUCAAGAUAAGUGUGAGUGCCGAGGAUGGCUCUUCCGUAGGAAGACGGAGGUGGAUCCUCGGUAGUGUAUUGAAGUGGUGAGUAGUGGACUCGUGUACACAAAACCAUUUCAAGUUGGAGUCUCGUAGGAUAGCCUAGCCAAGAGUCAAAGCUGGCUUGCUGCAACAACUCCACCAACCCUUCUUGAUAAUGUGCAUGUAUGUAGGAUCUGAUGUAAGUCUUGCUGAGUACCUUUGUACUCAUGUUGCUAUAAUUUACAUUUUUACAGAAGACGCUGCAACCCCUUCUGAUGGGUUCUUCGUAGACGUUGAAAUCAAUGAGUAGGCUAAGGCCCAGGUGGUGAUCCUGAGCUUGUGAAGGACCACGUAGUAUAGCUAGGCUUUCCAAGCCUCUUUUAUUUUACUAGUUGUCUGUACUCAGACAAGUUACUUCCGCUGCUGGUCUGUAUGACUGUAUGACUUGCAUGCUGGGUCGUGUGACCCGUACCUAUGUGUAUGUUAUGUAUGGCUCUCUGAGCCUUAAAUAAAGUACUUGUGUCGUAGAGUCAUGUUGUGAUGCCUUGUUGUAUUUGCACAUAUCGAGCAUAUUGUGCGUAUGAUUGAAAUGCUUGGUAUGUGUGGGAUCUGACUAUCUAGUUGUUUAUCUUUAGUAGCCUCUCUUACCGGGAAAUGUCUCCUAGUGUUACCACUGAGCCAUGGUAGCUUGCUACUGCUCUAGAACACUUAGGCUGGCCGGCAUGUGUCCUUCUUCGUUCCUGUGUCUGUCCCUUCGGGGAAAUGUCACGCAUUGAGUACCGGAGUCCUGUUAGCCCGCUACAGCCCGGUUUACCGGAGUCCUGCUAGCCCAGUGCUACAGCCCGGACCCACUUGCUGAUGACCGACACGUUCGUUGCUGGGUCAUGGAUGCCUGUCCCUGUAAGUCUGUGCCACUUUGGGUUUACGACUAGUCAUGUCAGCCCGGGCUCCUUAUCAUAUGGAUGCUAGCGGCACUAUCAUAUACGUGAGCCAAAAGGCGCAAACGGUCCCGGGCAAAGGUAAGGCGACACCCGUGGGGAUACCGUGCGUGAGGCCGCAAAGUGAUAUGAGGUGUUACAGGCUAGAUCGAUGUGACAUCGAGUCGGGGUCCUGACAGCGUUGGCAUCAGAGCCGGACUGCCUGUAGGUUUUCCAAGCCAAACUGGUCGAUGUUGAGUCUAGAAAUUCUUUAGUUAUAUGUAGGGGAAUUGUUUGUGGGUUGGAACGUAAGGCUCUUUUUACUCCUUUAUCUUAUGACAUUCUGAUCUGAGUCAGUCUAUUCUUCCACUGGGGGUUAAGGUAUUAGGAUCUAUUCUCUCUAUCAGGAUCACGUGUUACUAAUCAGUAGUACCUUAUAGGUUUGAUGGAUACAAGCCUAGUUCAGUUCUACUACCACAUUAUGUUCUUUGGAUGGACUCAGAACUUUGAUAUGAUGAUGUUGAGUGUGUAUGAAAUCCUUUGUCAAAUGUCUCAAAUCCUUCUUGAGCAUUUACAGCUGUUAUGCUGCCGAAAUUUUGCUAGGAAUUCUAGUGCCUUUGCAUUAUGAUUGUGCUUUCAGAUGGCCACUCGCGACCUCAAUCAAGUGGUUCGCCUGACUCGAUGCCUAGAUGUACCCGGUCAUACCGCCAUGUUGGUCAGGGUAAUGACUGAGGCUGGAUACCGUUGGUAUCCUGAGUACACGGUCGAAGAGCAAUUUCGAGACUUUAAUCAAAGCCAGUAUCUCUGCACUGUCAGGAUAUUUCCAUCUUAUCCUGGAUCCACCGAGCCCCUUCACUGCUCCUAUGGACUCAGGGUUACUAUUGAGAUGGCUGUGCAGGAUGCCGCCUACUCUAUGAUGACCAUCAUGCGAGUCAGGACUGGCCUAUUUCGGGAUUCUGAUUUCCGGUAUAUGCCAGGAUCACUUCCGGGAGCACAAGGGUAUCUCCAGGCUAUCUAUGCUGACCCCACUCAGGAGGAUUCACGGACUCGCACCACUCCUGAGAUGCUCGAAGAUAAGGACCGUGAAAAUCGGGCCUUGAGGCUAGAGCUUUUCACUACUCGUGCUGACCAUUGGGCCACGUUGACUCGGUUUGCACCGGUUGUGCAAGCUGGAUAUUCGGAUAUGCGCGAUCUCUAUCCUGUGAGAUCUGCUCUGCCAGACGUGAUGGGUUGGCGUGAUGUAGGAGGCAUCACCCCACCUCGCGGUCCCCGCAGGCCACCGUCUGUUGGUCCAAGACCUCAUCCUAGCCCCUAUGGUCCUCAAGCUCCGCGGGAUCGUCUAUUCCCGGAUGAUCAUGUUGAGCUUCCAGGCUAUGGAGGUGACUUCUACGAGGACUACUAUGGAUCGGUCUGAGUUAGUGGUAGUAUCACUAGUUCGUACUAGCUGUGUCGUCUAUCGUCCUGCGUGACUCGUGGGAUAUGACCUAGUUUGUACCGCCUUCCGGAGGUGUAGAAAAAUAAUGUAUAGGAGCUUGGGAUGCCUCCGAUGAGAUGUAAUCCUCUUUUCACCGUAAUAGUACCUUGUUUGGUCUUGUACUAAACCUUGUAUGGUGUGUAUGACGAUGGAAUAAAGAAGCAGUUUCUGUAUCUACCAUGUCAUACGGAUGAUCAUCUUGCAUUCCGAGUUACUCCUUACAUUCUGUAUUCUAUGUCGAUAUCUUAUCAUUCUGACUAAAUCAUUGUCUUGUUUACCUAGGAUGUUCAACACGCGCAAUAACCCUGCUCCUCAAGAGCAGGCCGAAGGCAGUGAAGUCAGGAAUGAAAAUCUGCCUCAUCCUCCUUCCCUAGCCGAGGUUAUGAUGGAAGCCAAAAGAAACAAGCAGGAGACCAACCGUUUGUUGGAGCGUAUUGAACAGAACACAGCACACCAUCGGAGGACUAACGUGGUGUCACUCAGUGAUUUCAUCAAGUUACAUCCACCCACGUUCCACCACUCCGUCGAGCCUCUCGACGCUGAUGACUGGCUUCGCAGUAUUUCUCACAAACUGCGCUUCGCGCUAGUAGCCGAGGCUGACAAGGUCACCUUUGCUGCAUAUCAUCUUGAAGGCCCCGCCAGUCUCUCGUGGGAGAAUUAUGGAGCUAUGCACCCAGCGGGCCAUGUCACUACUUGGGCUGAAUUCAGCGAGGCUUUCCGUGAACAUCACAUUCCAGAGGGUCUCAUGGACCGUAAACAUGAGGAAUUUUGCAGUUUCACUCAGGGCCGACUCUCUGUGGAUGCUUAUAGCAGGGAGUUUGGUAACCUUGCACGAUAUGCAACUGAGGAAGUUUCUACUGAUGCUAAGAAGCAAGCAAGGUUCCAUAAGGGACUUAGUCCUGAGCUUCAUCGCGACCUCCGUCUGCAUGAGUGCACAUCUUUUCAGAAGCUUGUUAACAAGGCCAUCAGUGUUGAGACUGGUCAGACUGAUUAUGACGCAACACGCAAGCAUGGCCGUGACGUGGGUUCCUCAUCCGGUGCUGGUCCUCAGAAGCGCCGCGUGUGGGUGCCCAACACUGCCCUGCCACCCAGGUUCACACCGAGGCCAUCCUUCCAGGCGCCUCCCCCCGUUCAACAGUUUGCACCAGCCAAGCCCUAUGGUGGUCCAACCAACAAUGCUCCUCCACUUACCAGUUCCGUGACUUGCUUUAAGUGUGGGGAAUCUGGUCACUAUAUGCGUGAGUGUCCCCAAACCAACCCCAACCAAUCUGCUAAAGCUGUUGUCCGUGGCAAGCCGACAGGUAAAGUGUUCCACGCCAAGCCGGCCACCGCUACACGUGGCCAUGUCAACUGUAUCUCUGCCGAAGAAGCUCAAGAGGAUCCCAACGUCGUUCUCGGUACGCUCCUUGUUAAUUGCCACCCGGCAUCUAUUCUUUUCGAUACAGGAGCAUCUCAUUCAUUUAUAUCCGAGAACUAUGCUCGUUUGCAUAACACCGCAUUCUGUGACAUGCCAUCCACUAUGGAAAUUUCUACUCCUGGUUCUAGAUGGCAAACCUCCAGGGUAAGUUAUGGAAAUGAAAUCCAAGUCGACAGACUUGUUUUCCAUCUUUGAUAGCUCUCAAAUCUUCAGAUAUUAAUAUCAUCUUGGGUAUGGACUGGAUGUCAGCUCAUCAUGCCAAAAUUGAUUGCUUCUCUAGGACUGUUCAACUCACCCAUCCUUCGGGGAAGAUAGUCAAUGUCUUGACCCGAUUAGCCAAGCGACAAUUAUAUUCUCUUAACGCCAGCCCUUUGCCAGACCUUGAGGACGUUCCGGUAGUCCGUGACUUCCCGGAUGUCUUCCCAGAGGAAUUGCCAGGUGUUCCACCUGACAGGGAUGUUGAGUUCAUAAUAGACCUCAUUCCAGGAACCGUUCCGACUGCUAGAAGACCCUAUAAGAUGGCACCACUAGAACUAGCCGAGCUUAAGAAACAACUCGAUGAGUCCUUGAAAAAGGGUUUCAUCCGACCUAGUUCAUCUCCGUGGGCUUGCCCCGUCCUCUUCGUCAAGAAGAAGGAUGGUACGGACCGGAUGGUUGUAGAUUAUCGACCUGUCAAUUUGGUCACAAUCAAGAACAAAUAUCCGCUCCCCAGGAUCAACGACCUGUAUGAUCAGCUCGCUGGAUCCUCAAUCUUCUCCAAAAUGGAUUUGAGGUUGGGCUACCAUCAAAUCAAAAUCAGGAACGGGGACAUUCCUGAAACGGCCUUUGUUACUCGUUAUGGCCAAUACGAGUACACCGUCAUGUCCUUCGGUUUAACCAACGCUCCAGCCACCUUUUCUCGGUUAAUGAACUCAAUCUUCAUGGAGUAUUUGGAUAAAUUCGUCGUUGUUUACCUCGAUGAUAUACUCAUCUACUCCAAGAACGAGGAAGAACAUGCCGAACAUCGAAGGCUAGUGUUGAAGAAACUUCGAGAGCAUUGCCUUUAUGCCAAGUUUUCUAAAUGUGAGUUUUGGUUGUCAGAAGUGACCUAUCUGGGUCAUGUAAUAUCUGGUAAAGGUAUUGCUGUUAACCCUGAGCGAGUUCAAGCCGUCCUUAAUUGGACUCCACCUGAAUCAGUCAAGCAAGUUCGGAGUUUUCUGGGCUUAGCGAGCUAUUGCCGUCGCUUUGUCGAAAAUUUCUCCAAAGUUGCUAAACCUCUAACCGAACUCCUCAAGAAGGAUAAAAAGUUCGAAUGGACUCCACAAUGUGAGCACAGCUUUCAGGAACUGAAAAGACGCCUGACUUCUGCUCCCGUACUUGUACCGCCAGACUUCUCUAAGGACUUUGUUAUCUACUGUGACGCCUCGCGACAAGGACUAGGCUAUAUUCUCAUGCAAGAUCGACAUGUAAUUGCUUACGCUUCACGGCAAUUGCACCCACAUGAGGAGAAUUAUCCUACUCAUGAUCUAGAGCUUGCAGCUGUAGUCUAUGCACUUAAAACCUGGCGACAUUACCUUCUCGGUAAUCAUUGCGAAAUAUUCACUGAUCACCCAAGUCUGAAGUACAUCUUCACCCAACCGGAUUUGAAUCUCAGGCAAAGACGUUGGGUCGAGUUGAUCACAGAUUUCGACUUAGGAAUAACUUACACCCCAGGGAAAGCCAACGUCAUGGCUGAUGCGCUAAGUCGUAAAUCUUAUUGUAACAACCUGAUGUUACAACAAAGUCAACCGCUUCUCCAUGAGGAAUUUCGGAAGCUUAAACUUCACAUUGUUCCUCAAGGAUUUCUUUCCACCUUGGUGGCGAAACCUACUCCUACGGAUCAAAUUAUCGCUGCCCAAAAGCGAGAUAAGGGAAUAUCUAAAAUCAAGGAGAACAUUGCUAGCGGAGGUGCUAGUUGUUUCUCCACAAAUGAUCAUGGUGUUGUGUACUUUGAGAACCGUUUAGUGGUUCCCAAGAACGAGCAUCUACGGCAGUUGAUCCUUAAGGAGGCUCAUGAAUCUCCUCUCACCAUUCAUCCCGGUAGUACCAAGAUGUAUCAGGACCUACGCCAGAGGUUCUGGUGGACUAGGAUGAAGAGAGAAAUUGCUCAUUACAUUGCUAAUUGCGACGUCUGCCGUCGUGUAAAAGCAGAGCAUCAACGGCCUGCUGGCACCCUUCAACCCUUAGCUAUUCCUGAAUGGAAAUGGGAUAAAAUUGGUAUGGAUUUCAUUACCGGUUUUCCCAGGACCAAGAGAGGGAAUAAUGCUAUCUUCGUCGUUGUCGAUCGUCUUUCCAAAGUGGCCCAUUUCUUACCUAUUCGUGAGAGUAUAACCGCUAGCCAGUUGGCAGACUUAUACAUCUCCCGAAUCGUGUCUCUCCAUGGUGUUCCUUUGGAAAUUAACUCGGAUCGAGGAAGUCUUUUCAACUCUCGAUUUUGGGAAAGUUUCCAAAAUGCUAUGGGAACCCGCCUUUCCUUUAGCACCGCUUUUCACCCUCAAUCGAGUGGUCAAGUAGAACGCGUCAACCAGAUCCUAGAAGACAUGCUUCGAGCCUAUGUUAUCUCAUUCGGAAUGGAGUGGGAGAAAUGCCUUCCAUUUGCCGAAUUCGCUUACAACAACAGCUAUCGAUCUAGCUUGGGUAAAGCCCCUUUUGAAGUUCUCUAUGGACGACGGUGUCGAACACCCCUUAACUGGUCAGAAACCGGGGAAAGACAAUUCUUUCGCCCGGAUAUGAUUCAGGAAGCAGAAGAGCAAGUUCGCAACGUUCGUGAAAAGUUGAAAACAGCCCAAUCUCGUCAAAAGAGUCAGUAUGACCGAAAACAUAAGGCCAUGACUUUCGAGGUUGACGAGAAAGCUUACCUUCGGGUUACUCCUCUGAAGGGGACCCAUCGUUUCGGUAUCAAAGGCAAAUUGGCUCCUCGUUACAUUGGACCUUUCCGUAUUCUCGCUAAACGAGGAGAAGUUGCCUACCAGUUGGAACUACCUCCACAUCUCUCCAGAGUCCACGAUGUUUUCCACGUUUCUCAACUCAGGCGUUGCUUCUCGGAUCCUAUCCGUGGAGUGGACCACGAAACGCUUGAUCUCCAAGAUAAUCUCACGUAUCGAGAGUACCCCAUUCGUAUCCUCGAUCAGGCCGAGCGUACCACUCGACGUCAUAAUAUCAAGUUUCUCAAAGUUCAAUGGUCGCACCAUUCUGAGGAUGAAGCAACUUGGGAAAGGGAGGAUCGUCUUCGACUCGAGUAUCCCACCCUUUUUCCGGAGGAACCCAAAUCUCGGGACGAGAUUCUUUUGAGUGGGGGUGAGUUGUCACACCCUAGCUAGUUCAUGCAUUAGAGUGUUGCAUCAUGUUUAUUCUUUCAUCAGAAACCUGAAAUGGGGAUGACAGAACCCCCAGCCCCCUCUGAAACCAAUUAGGGUUUACUAAAAAACUUUUUCAAUGAACCUGAAAUUCCCUUCUAAAAUGCCCAUCAUUUUUGUCUUGGUUCAGAUCCUCUUCCAAAAGUGAUGCACAUUUUCCUAGGCCAUCUUAGGGUUUUUGAAUUAAAUCAUAAAUAUUUGAAUUUGGGCAUUUAAAAUUAUAUAAAAGAUUUAAAUGCUCAAAUAUCUCCAAACUAAAAUGUUUCAUGUUGGAAAUAAUCCAACUAUGGACCAGGAGUAGUUUGGUGAUUUUAGGAGUUGCCUAAGUAUUUUUAAUAAAUCAACAAAGUUGCAGAAGUAUUAAAAAACAGAGAACAGUAAAAAUAGAAAAACUUACCUGGCGCCAGCACUCGGCCCACCUGCCGGCCCAGCCCAGCGCCGCUCCAGCGAGCUGCUUGCCGGCCAGGCAGGCAGGCAGGUGCCCGACGGCGACCACAGCGCGCGCCACACAGCUGGCUGCCGCCCUGCUCCACCUCCUCGCCUCGGGGCUGGAUGGAUGAGCUCUACGCAGUGCCGUGAACCCGCAGGACACCUCCAUUCUCCCCCAACCCCUCUCUCUCGCGCUCCGCCGCCAUGGCCGACGCCAUCGCCGCCACCCCCUCGCCGUAGCCACGCCCUCCGUCAACCCCACGCCGUGCCGCCGUGUCCAGGAGCUCCGCUACCCUCCUCUCCUUCGAGCAAGCCGAGCCCCGAGCGCUCGCAAGGCCCGAGCCCACCGCAUCGACCUCGACCGAACUGCCGUCGCCGGAGAUCCCCUUCAACGCCGACGUCGCUCCGGCCCGUCCCCGGCCGCACCAAGGGCUUCGUCGAACUCCCCGUGAGCUUAGCUAUCUUCCCCUCCCUUCUUUCUUGCUCCCGAGCCAUGUAGCAACCUCCCGAAGCUCAACCGCAACCACCGCCGCGGAGCUCGUCGCCGACAUGCUCCCGGUCAUCUUCCGGCCACCCCACGGUGUCCAUCAUGCUCACCGCGUCACGUAGCACCUAACUAGCUACUCCCCGCUCCUCACCGACCCCUCUUGCGUCAAGUUCGACUUCGGCCGAACUCCGGUGGCCGCCAAAGUCGUCGCCGGCGCCAACUCCGGCCACCCCGACCCCAACGGACUCCACCAAGAGCUGCGGUUCGUCCUCAACUCCUCUCCGGUGGCCUCCGCGGCUCGUUUGGUUGCCGGAACGGCAAAAACCACUUCCGCCGCCGCGUCGGGCUCGCCGGCGGCUAAACGCCGGUGCAGCCGACCCGGGUUUGACCACGGGUGGGCCCUGGAUGACUCUCCUGAGUCAAUGACAGGUGGGGCCCAGCCCUGUUAACUAAUUAGGAUUAGUUUUAAUUAAAUUUAGUUUAGCUAAUCACCCUGACACGCGGGACCCACUGUCAGGUUUGACCCGGACCAUGUCCCGUUGACCUGCUGAUGUCACACUGACGUCAGGCUGAUGCAGUAAUUGAUUUUCUGGAUUUAUUUUAAUAUAGGAAAUUCCAGAAUAUAGUUUAAACUUCAAAAAUUCAUAACUUUUAAUCUGUAACUCCAAAUCAGACAAAUUAUAUAUGAAAAAUGAUCAGAAAAAUCCAAUCUAUCCAUCUGUACUAUUUUCAUGCAUGAUUAAACAAGUUAACUUGAUGUUUAAUGCAGAACAAGGAAAAAACACUUUAAAGGGCCAUGUUUGAGUUUGAAAUUUGAAUCUUUGAUUCAAAUUUGUUUUAACCCUUCUGGUCUUAGUUGCAUUAGCCGAACACACUCAUAUUGCCAUGUUUCAGGCAUGCAUCAUAUUGUUGCACAUUGUUUGGUGAUGGUUGUGUAUCGGUGUUCAAUGCGGCAGGUUCUGUCUCCGAGGAGUACCGUGAUUACCCUAACGAAGAACCGUAUCGGUGCAUCGAACCAUCAGGCAAGCAACCAACCAUUUGAUCAUAUCGAUACAAUCCCAUGUUCUCGCUCCUGCUCUCUUUUACUGCAUUAAGACAACGCGUUUCAAACUGCUGUGUGCUAUGGUAGUUGAACCCACUUCCUCUGCAUGACCUGUCAUUCCCACAGUAACUAGAUGAAACCCACUAGCAUGUGUAGGAGUUGAUUGAGCCAUAUGUAUGUGUUGUUCCUACCUUGCUAUGCCUGCUAUGCUUAGAGUCGUGUCAGGUCUGGUUCAUCUGGGUGAUGGGCUAGAGUGAAAUGAUUAUGUCGGUAAUGAGAGUGGUGUGGUGAACACGAUUUGGUAAAGGUAUCGAUGAAAGGCCAUGUAGGAGUACAUGGUGGGUUGUUUCAUUGAAGCCGACCUUAAGCACUGAGAUCUGUAUGUGUGAUUUAAGAUACAGCUACUACCAUGCAUUGGGCCCUGAAAUAUGACCCCGCUCGACUUCUUAUUCACCCUAGUCCUCUGUCCAGGAGUUGCAAGUAGUUUCUGGUGUUUGUAGCCUACUAGAGGCCGUGGACAGUGCUGACCGUAGGGGUGGGCUGUGAUGCGGUAGGUACGUGGCCGGGUAAACCGGGCACCCGUUUGGUGUCACGGAACCCUGUUCACAUCGUUUGGGGCUGUGACCGAAACUCCGGCCGGAUCUCCUCAUGGAUGGAACCCGAAUAGGCGAUAAACCUGGACUAGAGACUUAGGUGUUUAGGUAGGUCGUGGUCUACACCCACGUCGGCUUUCGCUUGAAGUCUGCCGAGCACAUGUCGUGUGCAGAUGCUAAGUGGUGGAAACAUGUAUGAAGAAGUACACCCCUGCAGGGUUAACAUGAUCUAUUCGAAUAGCCGCGUCCGCGGUGAAGGACUACUUGGUUGCCUAUACAGUUCAUAGACAAGUUAAUGGAAACUACUAAAAGCCUCAAGAUAAGUGUGAGUGCCGAGGAUGGAUCUUCCGUAGGAAGAUGGAGGUGGAUCCUCGGUAGUGUAUUGAAGUGGUGAGUAGUGGACUCGUGUACGCAAAACCAUUUCAAGUUGGAGUCUCGUAGGAUAGCCUAGCCAAGAGUCAAAGCUGGCUUGCUGCAACAACUCCACCAACCCUUCUUGAUAAUGUGCAUGUAUGUAGGAUCUGAUGUAAGUCUUGCUGAGUACCUUUGUACUCAUGUUGCUAUAAUUUACAUUUUUACAGAAGACGCUGCAACCCCUUCUGAUGGGUUCUUCGUAGACGUUGACAUCAAUGAGUAGGCUAAGGCCCAGGUGGUGAUCCUGAGCUUGUGAAGGACCACGUAGUAUAGCUAGGCUUUCCAAGCGUCUUUUAUUUUACUAGUUGUCUGUACUCAGACAAGUUACUUCCGCUGCUGGUCUGUAUGACUGUAUGACUUGAAUGCUGGGUCGUGUGACCCGUACCUAUGUGUAUGUUAUGUAUGGCUCUCUGAGCCUUAAAUAAAGUACUUGUGUCGUAGAGUCAUGUUGUGAUGCCUUGUUGUAUUUGCACAUAUCGAGCAUAUUGUGCGUAUGAUUGAAAUGCUUGGUAUGUGUGGGAUCUGACUAUCUAGUUGUUUAUCUUUAGUAGCCUCUCUUACCGGGAAAUGUCUCCUAGUGUUACCACUGAGCCAUGGUAGCUUGCUACUGCUCUGGAACACUUAGGCUGGCCGGCAUGUGUCCUUCUUCGUUCCUGUGUCUGUCUCUUCGGGGAAAUGUCACGCAUUGAGUACCGGAGUCCUGUUAGCCCGCUACAGCCCGGUUUACCGGAGUCCUGCUAGCCCAGUGCUACAGCCCGGACCCACUUGCUGAUGACCGACAAGUUCGUUGCUGGGUCAUGGAUGCCUGUCCCUGUAAGUCUGUGCCACUUUGGGUUUACGACUAGUCAUGUCAGCCCGGGCUCCUUAUCAUAUGGAUGCUAGCGGCACUAUCAUAUACGUGAGCCAAAAGGCGCAAACGGUCCCGGGCAAAGGUAAGGCGACACCCGUGGGGAUACCGUGCGUGAGGCCGCAAAGUGAUAUGAGGUGUUACAGGCUAGAUCGAUGUGACAUUGAGUCGGGGUCCUGACAUCAGGACUCCGUUUUUCUUCCGUUUGCUUGUUUCCCAAGAUAAAAACUCUUUAUAUACUGCCCUGAACCUAUUGACCGCACAAAGGACAAGGGUCGUGUUCUCCGUCUCCUCCGGUCGCUUCGCCUCUCGGAUCCUCCGCUCUUUCCCCUCGGCAGCUACACCAAUCACAACACAACAUCAGGGAUAAGGAAAAAAAUGCAUGCGUCUAAUGAAAGCGACAUUUCCAUCAGUUCUACUAAUUUGUCACCAACUUCCUGGAAAUAUGAGAUAAUUGAAGGAAAUACAAAUAUAGGCUAUCCUAGGCGGCAAAGUGUUUGGCAUGCCAUCAUUUGAUACUAGUGGCACAAGCCAUUUAUUUUAACUGGGUUAUUUGCGUAUCAAGGCAUUUUUUGUAUAGCUAUAGGUUUUAUAUAGCAUUUAUUAGGACCGAGCAGAGCAUACCUUAAACGCAGCAACGCCGAUCAACAGCAGGAACAAACCACACAGAUACAUGCUAUUUCCUUGAUCACAGUAGCCAACCUUCACAGCACCUGGAAGAGAAACAUUAAAAUAUGGGUCCAUAAAUCAACAUGGGUUUACGGCCUAUAUGCAUCCACACACACUCGUCAGAAAAGUAGAGAUAACUAAUUAGUAAUUGCUCCUCUUAACUUCUGUAGAACAUAACAAACAAGAGCUCCUCUUAACUAAUUAGUAAUUGAUCAAGUAGAACCUAACACCAACUCAUAAUAUGUCAAGUACAGAAGCAAUUCCUUUGAACAAAACACAUAAGAAAAAAGAGCAAAAGAAAAGAAAGCGUAAGUCUAUCGAUGAUCCAACACUGACAUAUGUUUUUGUCACUAAAUCUGCUGCAACACACUAAUAUGCAAGAACAGCAGAUGCACAAAGUCAUCUCAUACCAAGUGAAGAUAAUAUGACAAGUAGGGAGCAACCAGCGGUGCUACACAUGCAGCAAGCUUUGCCCGUCUGCAUAACAGAAUAUACUUCGUCAUUUAUAUGUCUUAGCAUAGUAUAAUACUGCACAUACAGCAAAAAAACAAGCACCACGAACCUCCUGGAUAAACAACAGAAACAACCAAGAAGCACUCAGUUUUCAAUUCAUCAAAGGACUAAAAAUAUAAAACUUUGCAUGCAGAAAAAUUGACUCCCAUGCAUUGCAAAACUAACCAAAUUCUGAAUCCAUUUACAGGUGAGGAACACAAAAAAAUUCCUAGUAAAGUAUACUACUGAAAUAAGUGCUUUGAAACAUAGAAUUUUGGAGCUGCACAAAAGAUGCAGCUGAAGAGGACACCCCUAAAUGAAAACAUCAAGCUAAAAAAUUAAGCUAGCAAACCAGUCUGACCUAUUAGAUAUCCCACAUGGACAGUAGCACCUAAAUAUUGAGG